UACGGAGGAUGCAAGCGUUAUCCGGAAUGAUUGGGCGUAAAGCGUCCGCAGGUGGCUGUGUAAGUCUGCUGUCAAAGAGCAAAGCUCAACUUUGUAAAGGCAGUGGAAACUACACGGCUAGAGUGCGUUCGGGGCAGAGGGAAUUCCUGAUGUAGCGGUGAAAUGCGUAGAGAUCAGGAAGAACACCGGUGGCGAAGGCGCUCUGCUAGGCCGCAACUGACACUGAGGGACGAAAGCUAGGGGAGCGAAUGGG
RNAcentral lists this ribosomal RNA (253 nucleotides) under uncultured bacterium. Its description in RNAcentral is "partial 16S ribosomal RNA". It matches the Rfam family "Bacterial small subunit ribosomal RNA", at positions 524 to 776 of the family's 1533-position model. The record is from RNAcentral.